This 218-nucleotide ribosomal RNA is filed under the name uncultured bacterium. Its description in RNAcentral is "partial 16S ribosomal RNA". It matches the Rfam family "Bacterial small subunit ribosomal RNA", at positions 524 to 740 of the family's 1533-position model. The record is from RNAcentral.
UACGUAGGGUGCGAGCGUUAAUCGGAAUUACUGGGCGUAAAGAGUGCGUAGGCGGUCCCGCAAGUCCGCUGUGAAAGCCCCGGGCUUAACCUGGGAAUGGCAGUGGAAACUAUGGGACUUGAAUCUGGCAGAGGGGGGUGGAAUGCCACGGUGUAGCAGUGAAAUGCGUAGAGAUGUGGCGGAACACCGAUGGCGAAGGCAGCCCCCUGGGCUGAGAU